GGGAUAAAGGCGUAGUUGAGUUGAAUGUUAUUUUACAGAGGCGACGCCUUCCUCGCCGUACGCCUCACGCCUCUCACUUUUGGGUCUUUUGGGCUCACCUUUUGCAAGCUGACUCACCUCAGCCAGGCGAGGCGCCUUUUCACGCCUUUAACAACACUGAUUAUUACAAUAGUGAGAACUAAAUGCCCUAGGAUUUAUGAGAGGAAAAGG
RNAcentral lists this unclassified non-coding RNA (210 nucleotides) under Hevea brasiliensis (rubber tree). The record is from RNAcentral. Lineage: Eukaryota; Viridiplantae; Streptophyta; Magnoliopsida; Malpighiales; Euphorbiaceae.